RNAcentral lists this microRNA precursor (171 nucleotides) under Oryza brachyantha (malo sina). Its description in RNAcentral is "MIR812 microRNA precursor family". It matches the Rfam family "MIR812 microRNA precursor family", at positions 19 to 188 of the family's 205-position model. The record is from Rfam by way of RNAcentral. Lineage: Eukaryota; Viridiplantae; Streptophyta; Magnoliopsida; Poales; Poaceae.
UUUAUUUUUCUGCGUCCAACAUCUGACUAUUCGUCUUAUUUAAGAUUUUUUCGAUUAAUAUUUUUAUUAUAACUAGAUGAUAAAAUAUAAAUAAUAUUUUAUACAUGACUAAAUUUUUAAAGCUUUUGUAUAAAUUUUUCAAAUAAGACAAAUGGUCAAGGACACGAAAAA